This 518-nucleotide ribosomal RNA is filed under the name uncultured bacterium. Its description in RNAcentral is "bacterial SSU rRNA". It matches the Rfam family "Bacterial small subunit ribosomal RNA", at positions 29 to 518 of the family's 1533-position model. The record is from RNAcentral.
ACGAACGCUGGCGGCGUGCCUAAUACAUGCAAGUCGAACGGUCUUUUCUAUGGAAGCUUGCUUCCACUGAGAAGAUAGUGGCGAACGGGUGAGUAACACGUGGGUAACCUGCCCAUAAGAGGGGGAUAACAUCCGGAAACGGGUGCUAAUACCGCAUAGUUUUCUUGAUCGCAUGAUUGAGAAAGGAAAGACGGCCUUUGUGCUGUCGCUUAUGGAUGGACCCGCGGCGUAUUAGUUAGUUGGUGAGGUAAUGGCUCACCAAGACGAUGAUACGUAGCCGACCUGAGAGGGUGAUCGGCCACAUUGGGACUGAGACACGGCCCAAACUCCUACGGGAGGCAGCAGUAGGGAAUCUUCCGCAAUGGACGAAAGUCUGACGGAGCAACGCCGCGUGAGUGAAGAAAAGGUUUUCGGAUCGUAAAACUCUGUUGUCAGAGAAGAACAAGUUGGAGAGUAACUGCUCCAGCCUUGACGGUAUCUGACCAGAAAGCCACGGCUAACUACGUGCCAGCCGCCGC